Molecule: long non-coding RNA, 396 nt
Filed under: Rattus norvegicus (Norway rat)
Lineage: Eukaryota; Metazoa; Chordata; Mammalia; Rodentia; Muridae
Description: long non-coding RNA NONRATT001592
Source: RNAcentral
AAAUGACUGAAUAUUUUUCUGCUCUUGAUAAUUCCAAGAAGAAAAGUUCCUUGCUUGUGAUGUUAUUGAUUUCUAAUUUAUUCUUUUUUCCACUCUCUUUUUCCUUUCACAAAUGGAUACCAAUCACAUUUACUACUGGACUGCAAUAUUUCUCCUUGAAAACACUGCUGCUGACUGAAAUCACUUUGGGUGGACCAAAUUCCCCCCUGUGCCUGCUCCUGAAUGACCUCUUCCAAUCCCCCAAAUCUACCUCUCUGGCCAAUCAAAACUUACCUCGGUGUGUCACGCUGCCCUCCACUCUACUCCCCCUCUCUCUUGCUGACUUCCGGAAAAGCAACGGAAGAGUCCUGGGCAGAAGGAGGCUUCUGUAUGCUUGUGAAAAAGAACAAUCUAUGU